RNAcentral lists this transfer RNA (69 nucleotides) under Dipodomys ordii (Ord's kangaroo rat). It matches the Rfam family "tRNA". From Rfam's summary of the family: Transfer RNA (tRNA) molecules are approximately 80 nucleotides in length. Their secondary structure includes four short double-helical elements and three loops (D, anti-codon, and T loops). The record is from Rfam by way of RNAcentral. Lineage: Eukaryota; Metazoa; Chordata; Mammalia; Rodentia; Heteromyidae.
GGGAAUGUGGCUUAGUGGUAGAGUGCUUGCCUAGCAUGCAUGAAGCCCUGGGUGUUCCUUCCAUUCUCC